GACGAACGCUGGCGGCGUGCUUAACACAUGCAAGUCGAACGGACAGGCCCUGCUUUUGCGGGUUGCUCGAGUGGCGCACGGGUGAGUAACACGUGAGUAUCCUGCCCUUGUCUUUGGGAUAACUUCAGGAAACUGCGGCUAAUACCGGAUAGGAGCUCCUGCUGCAUGGUGGGGGUUGGAAAGUUUCGGCGGUUGGGGAUGGACUCGCGGCUUCUCCGCUUGUUGGUGGGGUAGUGGCUUACCAAGGCUUUGACGGAUAGCCGGCCUGAGCGGGUGACCGGCCACAUUGGGACUGAGAGACGGCGCAGACGGCUACGGGAGGCAGUGGUGGAGAAUAUGGCACAAUGGGCGGAAGCCUGAUGCAGCAACGUCGCGUGCGUGAUGACGGCCUUCGGGGGGUAAACCGCUUUCGCCGGUGACGAAGCGGGAGUGACGGUAAUGGGUAAAGAAGCACCGGCUAACUACGUG
This 468-nucleotide ribosomal RNA is filed under the name uncultured bacterium. Its description in RNAcentral is "partial 16S ribosomal RNA". It matches the Rfam family "Bacterial small subunit ribosomal RNA", at positions 28 to 507 of the family's 1533-position model. The record is from RNAcentral.